CCCCUAGAUGUUCUGGGCCGCACGCGCGCUACACUGAACAGUUCAACAAGUCUUAACCUUGGCCGAUAGGUCUGGGUAAUCUUUGAACGCUGUUCGUGAUUGGGAUAGACCUUUGCAAUUAUGGGUCUUCAACGAGGAAUUCCUAGUAAACGCAAGUCAUCAGCUUGCAUUGAUUACGUCCCUGCCAUUUGUACACACCGCCCGUCGCACCUACCGAUUGAAUGGUCCGGUGAAAUCUCGGGACGGCGGCUUGGUCGCUUGCGUCCGACUGCUGAAACUUGAUUAAACCAUAUCAUUUAGAGGAAGGUGAAGUCGUAACA
Molecule: ribosomal RNA, 320 nt
Filed under: uncultured eukaryote
Lineage: Eukaryota
Description: partial 18S ribosomal RNA
Rfam family: Eukaryotic small subunit ribosomal RNA
Source: RNAcentral